This 40-nucleotide ribosomal RNA is filed under the name Phyllactinia hamamelidis. RNAcentral describes it as "partial 28S ribosomal RNA". Lineage: Eukaryota; Fungi; Ascomycota; Leotiomycetes; Helotiales; Erysiphaceae. RNAcentral also lists the same sequence under 1 other name. The record is from RNAcentral.
UUGACCUCGAAUCAGGUAGGGAUACCCGCUGAACUUAAGC